RNAcentral lists this ribosomal RNA (361 nucleotides) under uncultured bacterium. RNAcentral describes it as "bacterial SSU rRNA". It matches the Rfam family "Bacterial small subunit ribosomal RNA", at positions 29 to 414 of the family's 1533-position model. The record is from RNAcentral.
AACGAACGCUGGCGGCAUGCCUAACACAUGCAAGUCGAACGAAGCCUUCGGGCUUAGUGGCGCACGGGUGCGUAACGCGUGGGAAUCUGCCCUUGGGUUCGGAAUAACAGUUAGAAAUGACUGCUAAUACCGAAUGAUGUCUUCGGACCAAAAGAUUUAUCGCCCAAGGAUGAGCCCGCGUCGGAUUAGCUAGUUGGUGAGGUAAAGGCUCACCAAGGCGACGAUCCGUAGCUGGUCUGAGAGGAUGAUCAGCCACACUGGGACUGAGACACGGCCCAGACUCCUACGGGAGGCAGCAGUGGGGAAUAUUGGACAAUGGGCGAAAAGGCCUGAUCCAGCAAUGCCGCGUGAGUGAUGAAGG